UGUGCACCUCUAUUUUCUAAAUCAGUGAA
This 29-nucleotide non-coding RNA is filed under the name Mus musculus (house mouse). The record is from RNAcentral. Lineage: Eukaryota; Metazoa; Chordata; Mammalia; Rodentia; Muridae.